GAUCCUGGCUCAGGACGAACGCUGGCGGCGCGCCUAACACAUGCAAGUCGAACGGAGCUGAGAGGAGCUUGCUUUUCUUAGCUUAGUGGCGAACGGGUGAGUAACGCGUGAGUAACCUGCCCUGGAGUGGGGGACAACAGUUGGAAACGACUGCUAAUACCGCAUAAGCCCACGGCCCGGCAUCGGGCUGAGGGAAAAGGAUUUAUUCGCUUCAGGAUGGACUCGCGUCCAAUUAGCUAGUUGGUGAGGUAACGG
Molecule: ribosomal RNA, 255 nt
Filed under: uncultured bacterium
Lineage: Bacteria
Description: partial 16S ribosomal RNA
Rfam family: Bacterial small subunit ribosomal RNA
Source: RNAcentral